RNAcentral lists this long non-coding RNA (295 nucleotides) under Elaeis guineensis (African oil palm). RNAcentral's name for it is "long non-coding RNA (EGUI_LNC024955)". Lineage: Eukaryota; Viridiplantae; Streptophyta; Magnoliopsida; Arecales; Arecaceae. The record is from RNAcentral.
CGAUAUAAUAAUAUAAUCUAAAAAUAAGAGUAAGCAAUAAAACAUAAAAUUUCAUGUUCCAUAUCCGGAAUAAUACAAAUAUCUAUAAAUUAUUUGUCUUGUCAAAAGAAAUGCAUCAUCAUAUGUUAACAGAUGAAAUACUUUUGUUCAACAAUUAUUUCAUAUCUUAUUUUUUAUUUCUUUUUUUAUAAUCACAUAAUUUUUAAUAUUUUUUUUCUGGCUCUGGACUAACCAAGUCUAUACCUCAGUCAUCAUCCGAAUCAAUUUCUACUUAAAAGCCUUUCAAGACUGUCCC